UCAUAUGCUUGUCUCAAAGAUUAAGCCAUGCAUGUCUAAGUUCAUGCCGUAUUAAGGCGAAACCGCGAAUGGCUCAUUAAAUCAGUUAUGGUUCCUUGGAUCGUACUUUCCUACUUGGAUAACUGUGGCAAUUCUAGAGCUAAUACAUGCAGCAGAGCUCCGACCGUAAGGGACGAGCGCUUUUAUUAGACCAAAACCAAUCGGACCUCGUGUCCGUUUCUUGUGGUGACUCUGAGUAACUUUGGGCUGAUCGCACGGGCUCGUCCCGGCGACGUAUCUUUCAAGUGUCUGCCUUAUCAACUGUCGAUGGUAGGUUACGCGCCUACCAUGGUCGUAACGGGUGACGGGGAAUCAGG
This 356-nucleotide ribosomal RNA is filed under the name Phonognatha graeffei. Its description in RNAcentral is "SSU rRNA". It matches the Rfam family "Eukaryotic small subunit ribosomal RNA", at positions 24 to 374 of the family's 1831-position model. Lineage: Eukaryota; Metazoa; Arthropoda; Arachnida; Araneae; Araneidae. The record is from RNAcentral.